This 497-nucleotide ribosomal RNA is filed under the name uncultured bacterium. RNAcentral describes it as "partial 16S ribosomal RNA". It matches the Rfam family "Bacterial small subunit ribosomal RNA", at positions 28 to 507 of the family's 1533-position model. The record is from RNAcentral.
GAUGAACGCUGGCGGCGUGCCUAAUACAUGCAAGUCGAGCGAGCAGACGAGGAGCUUGCUCCUCUGACGUUAGCGGCGGACGGGUGAGUAACACGUGGAUAACCUACCUAUAAGACUGGGAUAACUUUGGGAAACCGGAGCUAAUACCGGAUAAUAUAUUGAACCGCAUGGUUCAAUAGUGAAAGACGGUUUUGCUGUCACUUAUAGAUGGAUCCGCGCCGCAUUAGCUAGUUGGUAAGGUAACGGCUUACCAAGGCGACGAUGCGUAGCCGACCUGAGAGGGUGAUCGGCCACACUGGAACUGAGACACGGUCCAGACUCCUACGGGAGGCAGCAGUAGGGAAUCUUCCGCAAUGGGCGAAAGCCUGACGGAGCAACGCCGCGUGAGUGAUGAAGGUCUUCGGAUCGUAAAACUCUGUUAUUAGGGAAGAACAAAUGUGUAAGUAACUAUGCACGUCUUGACGGUACCUAAUCAGAAAGCCACGGCUAACUACGUG